This 253-nucleotide ribosomal RNA is filed under the name uncultured bacterium. Its description in RNAcentral is "partial 16S ribosomal RNA". It matches the Rfam family "Bacterial small subunit ribosomal RNA", at positions 524 to 776 of the family's 1533-position model. The record is from RNAcentral.
UACGGGGGGGGCAAGCGUUGUUCGGAAUUACUGGGCGUAAAGGGCUCGUAGGUUGCCAACUAAGUCAGACGUGAAAUCCCUCAGCUUAACUGGGGAACUGCGUCUGAUACUGGAUGGCUUGAGUUUGGGAGAGGGAUGCGGAAUUCCAGGUGUAGCGGUGAAAUGCGUAGAUAUCUGGAGGAACACCGGUGGCGAAGGCGGCAUCCUGGACCAACACUGACACUGAGGAGCGAAAGCCAGGGGAGCAAACAGG